This 96-nucleotide ribosomal RNA is filed under the name Acanthosepion pharaonis. Lineage: Eukaryota; Metazoa; Mollusca; Cephalopoda; Sepiida; Sepiidae. The record is from RNAcentral.
AAAACAAUGGUUCUCAUAUGAUCACCCAAGUUAAGCAACAUUGAGCUUGGUUAGUACCAAGAUGGGUGACCACUUGCGAAUACCAACUGCUGUAAG